UGCCCAAACCCAACUUUACGAUUAAGCGACGCGUGAGCAAAAAAGAGGAGCACGACUUGGAGAUACCCCUGGCCGAGAUGCCGUAUCAGAGGACUUCGAGCUGUCUUCUCAUCAUAUAGCUGGUUCUUAUAGUCCGAUCUUUGAGUACUUUAUAACCAAGCGAAAGUCCCAAGGUUUAAAAGCAAUUUCAGAGAUCGACGAGUUCACACAGACAAGCAGACAUGGGUCGGAGUUGAUUUCUUAUGUCUGUUACAUACGUUUGCACAAAAACUCCAUACCCUUUUUUACCUCAUCUUAUUGCCGUGUCCAGAGUCAAAAAGUUACAAAAAAGCAAGCAAGAAACUGUACAUAGGGAAGAGAUGGCCGCGCCUUGCCACCUGGCACCGAAAAAGAACUGAUAAGUGCACCCACUAACCCUUUGGGCAGCGCCGCUCUCCCCUCUGAGCACGCAAUCCUUGAUGCUUUAAUUCGCACUGCUUUACGUUGCUUCCCUUGUUAGAAAUACAGCAAUGUACAAGAUUUCAUUAAUGCCAAUAGGGUCUGCACUCGACUCGUUACUCGUUACUCGCCAAUCGCCGCUCGCCACUCGCUAAUCGUCUGCCAGGUGAUUCGGACUGAACGGCACGUAUGUAAAUGCUUCAUUGCCCAGCCGCCACACAUGUGUGUAUUUUCUACACUAACUGGCAGCACUGCAAUAAGCUCAGGUACAGUUAUGCACGGUUACGGGCAGUUAAGCCGUCUGGCAACGCAUUGUAAUGUUCAUAUUUUGCAUAUCGUACUUAUGUUUAUACUCUGUUUACAAAGCGAAGUGAGUAUAUUGGAUUGUCGCACAUACUCUUUUAUGUAUGUUUAUAUGAAAAUAUAUCUUUUUGUAAUUUAAGAACUAGA
This 888-nucleotide small RNA is filed under the name Drosophila virilis. RNAcentral's name for it is "GJ26091". The record is from RNAcentral. Lineage: Eukaryota; Metazoa; Arthropoda; Insecta; Diptera; Drosophilidae.